CAAUCUGCCUUGGAGUGGGGGAAUAACGGCUGGAAACAGCCGCUAAUACCGCAUGAUACAGCUGGGAGGCAUCUCCCUGGCUGUCAAAGAUUUAUCGCUCUGAGAUGAGCUCGCGUCUGAUUAGCUAGUUGGCGGGGUAACGGCCCACCAAGGCGACGAUCAGUAGCCGGACUGAGAGGUUGGCCGGCCACAUUGGGACUGAGACACGGCCCAGACUCCUACGGGAGGCAGCAG
Molecule: ribosomal RNA, 234 nt
Filed under: uncultured bacterium
Lineage: Bacteria
Description: partial 16S ribosomal RNA
Rfam family: Bacterial small subunit ribosomal RNA
Source: RNAcentral